CAUGCGCUGCUUAUACUGCAAGUCGAACGGAGACGUUAUAGCAAUAUGAUGUCUUAGUGGCGAACGGGUGAGUAACGCGUUGGUGACCUGCCCCGAAGCGGGGGAUAACAGCUCGAAAGGGCUGCUAAUACCCCAUGUGGUCGCAAAGGUUAGAGGCUUUGCGAUUAAAGGAGUAAUCCGCUUUGGGAGGGGCCUGCGUCCCAUCAGCUAGUUGGUAGGGUAAAAGCCUACCAAGGCGACGACGGGUAGGGGGCCUGAGAGGGUGACCCCCCACACUGGCACUGAAACACGGGCCAGACACCUACGGGUGGCAGCAGUAGGGAAUAUUGCACAAUGGGCGAAAGCCUGAUGCAGCAACGCCGCGUGCGCGAUGAAGGCCUUCGGGUCGUAAAGCGCUUUUCGGGGAGAUGAGGAAGGACAGUAUCCCCGGAAUAAGGUUCGGCUAACCACGUGCCAGCAGCCGCGGUAAAACGUAGGAACCGAGCGUUAUCCGAAUUUACUGGGCGUAAAGCGCGUGUAGGCGGUUCGGUAAGUUGGAUGUGAAAUCUCCCGGCUCAACUGGGAGAGGUCGUUCAAUACUGUCGAACUUGAGGGUGGUAGAGGGAGGUGGAAUUCCCGGUGUAGUGGUGAAAUGCGUAGAUAUCGGGAGGAACACCAGUGGCGAAAGCGGCCUCCUGGACCAUUCCUGACGCUCAGACGCGAAAGCUAUGGGAGCAACGGGAUUAGAAACCCCGGUAGUCCUAGCUGUAAACGAUGUUGACUUGGCGUUGGUGGGGUAAAAGCCAUCAGUGCCGUAGCUAACGCGAUAAGUCAACCGCCCUG
This 822-nucleotide ribosomal RNA is filed under the name uncultured Chloroflexota bacterium. RNAcentral's name for it is "bacterial SSU rRNA". It matches the Rfam family "Bacterial small subunit ribosomal RNA", at positions 43 to 873 of the family's 1533-position model. The record is from RNAcentral. Lineage: Bacteria; Bacillati; Chloroflexota.